This 376-nucleotide ribosomal RNA is filed under the name uncultured bacterium. RNAcentral describes it as "bacterial SSU rRNA". It matches the Rfam family "Bacterial small subunit ribosomal RNA", at positions 521 to 896 of the family's 1533-position model. The record is from RNAcentral.
UAAUACGGAAGGGGCAAGCGUUGUUCGGAAUUAUUGGGCGUAAAGGGCGUGUAGGCGGCUUCGCAGGUCUGUGGUGAAAGCAUACAGCUCAACUGUAUUGAGCCAUGGAAACGGCGGAGCUUGAGGCUGGGAGGGGCUGGUGGAAUUCCCUGUGUAGCGGUGAAAUGCGUAGAGAUGGGGGAGAACACUCGUGGCGAAGGCGGCCAGCUGGACCAGUUCUGACGCUGAGACGCGAAAGCGUGGGGAGCAAACAGGAUUAGAUACCCUGGUAGUCCACGCUGUAAACGAUGGGCACUAGGUGUCGGCGGUUCAUAAUCCGUCGGUGCCGGCGCUAACGCAGUAAGUGCCCCGCCUGGGGAGUACGGUCGCAAGGCUG